RNAcentral lists this unclassified non-coding RNA (210 nucleotides) under Hevea brasiliensis (rubber tree). Lineage: Eukaryota; Viridiplantae; Streptophyta; Magnoliopsida; Malpighiales; Euphorbiaceae. The record is from RNAcentral.
UGAUGUGGCAAGAGCACACAUUUUUCUAUUUGAACAUCCAAAUGCAAAUGGGAGAUAUAUUUGCUCUUCCCACAUAAUCACAUUGGAAGAUUUGGCUAAAUUCCUCUCUGCCAAGUACCAAGAAUUUCAAAUACCAUCUCUGCCGGCAUUGAAAGAUGUCAAAGGCCACCUAUUCACUGAUGUCUCAUCAAAGAAGCUUUUGGAUACUGG